Paramuricea clavata is the source of this 207-nucleotide non-coding RNA. NCBI's taxonomy places the organism in Eukaryota, Metazoa, Cnidaria, Anthozoa, Malacalcyonacea, Plexauridae. The record is from the annotation of a GenBank genome assembly.
AUCGAGGUUAAAUCUGAUGUGAGCUCUAGCUGACAAAAUGCAAUGUCAGCAAUGUGGUUUGGGUAACUGGAUAUUUUGCUGAAAGAGUCACUUUGCAGAAAUGUUCUGCAUAUUGUCUUUCGGCAAAGUGUCUUUCGGGAAAGUGUCCAGCCACCGUGGUUUGGUAGCGAAUUGAAAUGUCGGAUUUCCAAUCGAUGAAACAACGCA